GAUGAACGCUGGCGGCGUGCCUAAUACAUGCAAGUCGAGCGAACAGAUAAGGAGCUUGCUCCUUUGACGUUAGCGGCGGACGGGUGAGUAACACGUGGGUAACCUACCUAUAAGACUGGAAUAACUCCGGGAAACCGGGGCUAAUGCCGGAUAACAUUUAGAACCGCAUGGUUCUAAAGGGAAAGAUGGUUGUGCUAUCACUUAUAGAUGGACCCGCGCCGUAUUAGCUAGUUGGUAAGGUAAUGGCUUACCAAGGCAACGAUACGUAGCCGACCUGAGAGGGUGAUCGGCCACACUGGAACUGAGACACGGUCCAGACUCCUACGGGAGGCAGCAGUAGGGAAUCUUCCGCAAUGGGCGAAAGCCUGACGGAGCAACGCCGCGUGAGUGAUGAAGGGUUUCGGCUCGUAAAACUCUGUUAUUAGGGAAGAACAAACGUGUAAGUAACUGUGCACGUCUUGACGGUACCUAAUCAGAAAGCCACGGCUAACUACGUGCCAGCAGCCGCGGUAA
Molecule: ribosomal RNA, 513 nt
Filed under: uncultured bacterium
Lineage: Bacteria
Description: partial 16S ribosomal RNA
Rfam family: Bacterial small subunit ribosomal RNA
Source: RNAcentral